CUUGGUCAUUUAGAGGAAGUAAAAGUCGUAACAAGGUUUCCGUAGGUGAACCUGCGGAAGGAUCAUUAAAGAGACGUUGCCCUUCGGGGUAUACCUCCCACCCUUUGUUUAUUAUACCUUUGUUGCUUUGGCGGGCCCGUCCUCGGACCACCGGCUUCGGCUGGUCAGCGCCCGCCAGAGGACCUAAAACUCUGUUUGUUCAUAUUGUCUGAGUACUAUAUAAUAGUUAAAACUUUCAACAACGGAUCUCUUGGUUCUGGCAUCGAUGAAGAACGCAGCGAAAUGCGAUAAGUAAUGUGAAUUGCAGAAUUCAGUGAAUCAUCGAAUCUUUGAACGCACAUUGCGCCCCCUGGUAUUCCGGGGGGCAUGCCUGUUCGAGCGUCAUUACAACCCUCAAGCUCUGCUUGGUAUUGGGCUCUGCCGGUCCCGGCAGGCCUUAAAAUCAGUGGCGGUGCCAUUCGGCUUCAAGCGUAGUAAUUCUUCUCGCUUUGGAGGCCCGGGUGUGUGCUUGCCAGCAACCCCCAAUUUUUUCAGGUUGACCUCGGAUCAGGUAGGGAUACCCGCUGAACUUAAGCAUAUCAAUAAGCGGAGGAAAAGAAACCAACAGGGAUUGCCUCAGUAGCGGCGAGUGAAGCGGCAAAAGCUCAGAUUUGAAAUCAGGUGCGUCUUCGCGCCCGAGUUGUAAUCUGGAGAGGAUGCUCCGGCGAAACCGGCCGCCCAAGUUCCUUGGAACAGGACGUCUUAGAGGGUGAGAACCCCGUACCCGGCGGCAUGGCUAGCCAUGUGGAGCUCCCUCGACGAGUCGAGUUGUUUGGGAAU
RNAcentral lists this small RNA (819 nucleotides) under uncultured Pseudeurotium. Its description in RNAcentral is "eukaryotic LSU rRNA". The stretch from base 537 to 819 matches the Rfam family "Eukaryotic large subunit ribosomal RNA", at positions 1 to 281 of the family's 3401-position model. Lineage: Eukaryota; Fungi; Ascomycota; Leotiomycetes; Thelebolales; Pseudeurotiaceae. The record is from RNAcentral.